GACGAACGCUGGCGGCGUGCCUAAUACAUGCAAGUCGAGCGGACUUAAAAAGCUUGCUUUUUAAGUUAGCGGCGGACGGGUGAGUAACACGUGGGCAACCUGCCUGUAAGACUGGGAUAACUUCGGGAAACCGGAGCUAAUACCGGAUAAUCCUUUUCUACUCAUGUAGAAAAGCUGAAAGACGGUUUACGCUGUCACUUACAGAUGGGCCCGCGGCGCAUUAGCUAGUUGGUGAGGUAACGGCUCACCAAGGCGACGAUGCGUAGCCGACCUGAGAGGGUGAUCGGCCACACUGGGACUGAGACACGGCCCAGACUCCUACGGGAGGCAGCAGUAGGGAAUCUUCCGCAAUGGACGAAAGUCUGACGGAGCAACGCCGCGUGAGUGAUGAAGGUUUUCGGAUCGUAAAACUCUGUUGUUAGGGAAGAACAAGUACGAGAGUAACUGCUCGUACCUUGACGGUACCUAACCAGAACGCCACGGCUAACUACGUG
This 494-nucleotide ribosomal RNA is filed under the name uncultured bacterium. RNAcentral's name for it is "partial 16S ribosomal RNA". It matches the Rfam family "Bacterial small subunit ribosomal RNA", at positions 28 to 507 of the family's 1533-position model. The record is from RNAcentral.